This 253-nucleotide ribosomal RNA is filed under the name uncultured bacterium. RNAcentral's name for it is "partial 16S ribosomal RNA". It matches the Rfam family "Bacterial small subunit ribosomal RNA", at positions 524 to 776 of the family's 1533-position model. The record is from RNAcentral.
UACGUAGGGGGCAAGCGUUGUCCGGAAUCAUUGGGCGUAAAGAGCGUGUAGGCGGCUCGAUAAGUCUGCUGUGAAAGUCCAGGGCUCAACCCUGGAAGGCCGGUGGAAACUGUCGGGCUAGAGUCCGGAAGAGGCGAGUGGAAUUCCUGGUGUAGCGGUGAAAUGCGCAGAUAUCAGGAGGAACACCUACGGCGAAGGCAGCUCGCUGGGACGGUACUGACGCUGAGACGCGAAAGCGUGGGGAGCAAACAGG